This 913-nucleotide ribosomal RNA is filed under the name uncultured Bacillota bacterium. RNAcentral describes it as "bacterial SSU rRNA". It matches the Rfam family "Bacterial small subunit ribosomal RNA", at positions 8 to 916 of the family's 1533-position model. Lineage: Bacteria; Bacillati; Bacillota. The record is from RNAcentral.
CAGACUUUGAUUAUGGCUCAUGAUGAACGCUGGCGGCGUGCCUAACACAUGCAAGUCGAACGAAGCUUGACGGAUGAUUUCUUCGGAAUGAAACCUGAUAUGACUUAGUGGCGGACGGGUGAGUAACACGUGAGCAACCUGCCUUUCAGAGGGGGAUAACGGCUGGAAACGGUCGCUAAUACCGCAUGAUGUGUUCGGAUGGCAUCAUCUGAACAUCAAAGAUUUAUCGCUGAAAGAUGGGCUCGCGUCUGAUUAGAUAGUUGGUGGGGUAACGGCCUACCAAGUCUACGAUCAGUAGCCGGACUGAGAGGUUGAACGGCCACAUUGGGACUGAGAUACGGCCCAGACUCCUACGGGAGGCAGCAGUGGGGAAUAUUGCACAAUGGGGGAAACCCUGAUGCAGCAACGCCGCGUGAAGGAUGACGGUUUUCGGAUUGUAAACUUCUUUUCUUAGUGACGAAGACAGUGACGGUAGCUAAGGAAUAAGCAUCGGCUAACUACGUGCCAGCAGCCGCGGUAAUACGUAGGAUGCAAGCGUUAUCCGGAUUUACUGGGUGUAAAGGGAGCGCAGGCGGGACUGCAAGUUGGAUGUGAAAUACCGUGGCUUAACCACGGAACUGCAUCCAAAACUGUAGUUCUUGAGUGAAGUAGAGGCAAGCGGAAUUCCGAGUGUAGCGGUGAAAUGCGUAGAUAUUCGGAGGAACACCAGUGGCGAAGGCGGCUUGCUGGGCUUUAACUGACGCUGAGGCUCGAAAGUGUGGGGAGCAAACAGGAUUAGAUACCCUGGUAGUCCACACUGUAAACGAUGAUAGCUAGGUGUGGGGGGUCUGACCCCUUCCGUGCCGGAGUUAACGCAAUAAGCUAUCCACCUGGGGAGUACGACCGCAAGGUUGCAACUCAAAUGAAUUGACGG